RNAcentral lists this ribosomal RNA (383 nucleotides) under uncultured eukaryote. RNAcentral's name for it is "partial 18S ribosomal RNA". It matches the Rfam family "Eukaryotic small subunit ribosomal RNA", at positions 592 to 976 of the family's 1831-position model. The record is from RNAcentral.
CAAUAGCGUAUAUUAAAGUUGUUGCAGUUAAAAAGCUCGUAGUUGGAUUUCUGGUGGGAGCGAUCGGUCUGGCGCUUAGCGCGAGUACUUGCAUCGUCUCCGGCCAUCCUUGGGGAAAGUCUGUCUGGCAUUAAGUUGUCGGGCAGAGGAUCCUCAUCGUUUACUGUGAAAAAAUUAGAGUGUUCAAAGCAGGCUUAUGCCGUUGAAUAUAUUAGCAUGGAAUAAUAAGAUAGGACUUUGGUACUAUUUUGUUGGUUUGCGCACCAAAGUAAUGAUUAAUAGGGACAGUUGGGGGUAUUCGUAUUCCGUUGUCAGAGGUGAAAUUCUUGGAUUUACGGAAGACGAGCUACUGCGAAAGCAUUUACCAAGGAUGUUUUCAUUAA